This is a non-coding RNA of Erinaceus europaeus (western European hedgehog), 75 nucleotides long. NCBI's taxonomy places the organism in Eukaryota, Metazoa, Chordata, Mammalia, Eulipotyphla, Erinaceidae. The record is from Rfam.
UGUCUCUUGCAUGCCUUGAGUGUAGGACCGUUGGCAUCUCUGUUACCCUCCCACACCCAAGGCUUGCAGGAGGUC